GGCAUGUCAAUGGUAUAUUCUUGUUGGGACUGAAUCUAAGUGGUCUAACACCAGCAUUUGUUACUAACACUGAGACAACAAUGCC
Otolemur garnettii (small-eared galago) is the source of this 85-nucleotide small nucleolar RNA. NCBI's taxonomy places the organism in Eukaryota, Metazoa, Chordata, Mammalia, Primates, Galagidae. The record is from Ensembl.